Long non-coding RNA from Sarcophilus harrisii (Tasmanian devil), 128 nucleotides. RefSeq lists it as uncharacterized. The record is from RefSeq and is a predicted model, not a curated record. NCBI's taxonomy places the organism in Eukaryota, Metazoa, Chordata, Mammalia, Dasyuromorphia, Dasyuridae. The transcript is spliced from 2 exons.
CAAUGUUAACAAAAGAAAAAAAGAAGGAAAAAAAGUUAAGCUGGGUACUUUGCCAAGUAGCUCCAAGCAGUUAUGUUUUCAGUGCAACCAGAAAAAUCCAAUAUUGCCAAUAAAACUUCUAGCCCCAA